UACAGAGGGGGCAAGCGUUGUCCGGAUUUACUGGGCGUACAGCGCGCGUAGGCGGCCUUGGACGUGCCGUGUGACAUACGAGGGCUCAACCCUCGGGGGCCACGGUAGACGCUGAGGCUAGAGGCAGGGAGAGGGAUGUGGAAUACCCGGUGGAGCGGUGAAAUGCGUAGAGAUCGGGUGGAACACCAGGGGCGCAGGCGGCAUCCUGGCCCUGACCUGACGCUGAGGCGCGAGAGCGUGGGGAGCAAACUGG
RNAcentral lists this ribosomal RNA (253 nucleotides) under uncultured bacterium. Its description in RNAcentral is "partial 16S ribosomal RNA". It matches the Rfam family "Bacterial small subunit ribosomal RNA", at positions 524 to 776 of the family's 1533-position model. The record is from RNAcentral.